GACGAACGCUGGCGGCGUGCUUAACACAUGCAAGUCGAACGGAAAGGCCCUGCUUUUGUGGGGUGCUCGAGUGGCGAACGGGUGAGUAACACGUGAGUAACCUGCCCUUGACUUUGGGAUAACUUCAGGAAACUGGGGCUAAUACCGGAUAGGAGCUCCUGCUGCAUGGUGGGGGUUGGAAAGUUUCGGCGGUUGGGGAUGGACUCGCGGCUUAUCAGCUUGUUGGUGGGGUAGUGGCUUACCAAGGCUUUGACGGGUAGCCGGCCUGAGAGGGUGACCGGCCACAUUGGAACUGAGAUACGGCCCAGACUCCUACGGGAGGCAGAGGGGGGGAUAUUGCACAAUGGGCGGAAGCCUGAUGCAGCAACGCCGCGUGCGGGAUGACGGCCUUCGGGUUGUAAACCGCUUUCGCCUGUGACGAAGCGUGAGUGACGGUAAUGGGUAAAGAAGCACCGGCUAACUACGUG
Molecule: ribosomal RNA, 467 nt
Filed under: uncultured bacterium
Lineage: Bacteria
Description: partial 16S ribosomal RNA
Rfam family: Bacterial small subunit ribosomal RNA
Source: RNAcentral